UACGUAGGGGGCAAGCGUUGUCCGGAUUUAUUGGGCGUAAAGCGCGUGUAGGCGGCUUUACAGGUCCGUUGUGAAAACUCGAGGCUCAACCUCGAGACGCCGGUGGAAACCGUAAAGCUAGAGUCCGGAAGAGGAGAGUGGAAUUCCUGGUGUAGCGGUGAAAUGCGCAGAUAUCAGGAGGAACACCCGUGGCGAAAGCGGCUCUCUGGGACGGUACUGACGCUGAGACGCGAAAGCGUGGGGAGCAAACAGG
RNAcentral lists this ribosomal RNA (253 nucleotides) under uncultured bacterium. RNAcentral's name for it is "partial 16S ribosomal RNA". It matches the Rfam family "Bacterial small subunit ribosomal RNA", at positions 524 to 776 of the family's 1533-position model. The record is from RNAcentral.